GAACGCACCCAUCACUAGUGAGAGAGACGUGUUACACAGAAAGCACCCAUCACUAGUGAGAGAGACGUGUUACACAGAAUGCACCCAUCACUAGUGAGAGAGGCGUGUUACACAGAACGCACCCAUCACUAGUGAGAGAGGCGUGUUACACAGAACGCACCCAUCACUAGUGAGAGAGACGUGUUACACAGAAUGCACCCAUCACUAGUGAGAGAGACGUGUUACACAGAACGCACCUAUCACUAGUGAGAGAGGCGUGUUACACAGAACGCACCCAUCACUAGUGAGAGAGGCGUGUUACACAGAAUGCACCCAUCACUAGUGAGAGAGGCGUGUUACACAGAAUGCACCCAUCACUAGUGAGAGAGGCGUGUUACACAGAAUGCACCCAUCACUAGUGAGAGAGGCGUGUUACACAGAAUGCACCCAUCACUAGUGAGAGAGACGUGUUACACAGAAUGCACCCAUCACUAGUGAGAGAGGCGUGUUACACAGAAUGCACCCAUCACUAGUGAGAGAGGCGUGUUACACAGAAAGCACCCAUCACUAGUGAGAGAGACGUGUUACACAGAAUGCACCCAUCACUAGUGAGAGACACGUGUUACACAGAAUGCACCCAUCACUAGUGAGAGACACGUGUUACACAGAACGCACCCAUCACUAGUGAGAGCGGCGUGUUACACAGAACGCACCCAUCACUAGUGAGAGAGGCGUGUUACACAGAAUGCAUGGUUCUAGAAACCAUUGAAACCCUGAAUACAAACCUGUCUGUCAUCACCUCUUAUACUUAGUUAAUAAUUAUAUAAUAAUUCUAAAUAUUAUAUUGUGGUAGUAUAAAUGUAAUUUGGUGCAGACGUCUUCUAGAAAGUGUUUUUGACCACAUUUGAAUUGUUUUGGAACAGCUAAAUGCAAACAAAUUUGAAUAGAAGCAGAUAUUUUAUAGAUUACUCCCCAAGCCUGUAUCCACAGUAAUGUAAAAUCUAGACAGUAAGUUAUAGUGCAAACCUCACUAGCUUGAGCUUUCUAUUCAGAGUGCACACCUAAACAACAGUCUUCACAGUCACUUGCAAUUACUUCUGACAUGAAGCUGCUUACAAAACCAAUUGUUGCUGUCAACUGUUUUAAUGACUUAUGACAUGACUGAGUGAGAGUGAUGGACAAGACCAAAGUGUAGACCAUGAUGGUAUCCUAGUCCUGUCAGAAUUAUAUAGCACGAGGGCAUUAUCGAUCAUAUCAGACAGCAGAUGGGAGACAUGACAGUGUGUGUGUGUGUGUGUGUGUGUGUGUGUGUGCAUCUGAGGAAAGGAGGAAGCCUUUAGGGGAAUCGUGGUUUAUGCCCUCGUAUUAUUAUUAUGACACGUUUGCACAAAGUAAAACCAACAGGCAUAGAUGCUACACAUUAGGAUCACACUUGUAGGAAAGAAUAAACAAAAGAAAAUGCACACUUACAGUAGAUGUG
Molecule: long non-coding RNA, 1459 nt
Organism: Gasterosteus aculeatus aculeatus (three-spined stickleback)
Lineage: Eukaryota; Metazoa; Chordata; Actinopteri; Perciformes; Gasterosteidae
Source: Ensembl